RNAcentral lists this long non-coding RNA (229 nucleotides) under Panax ginseng (ginseng). RNAcentral describes it as "long non-coding RNA (PGIN_LNC001572)". The record is from RNAcentral. Lineage: Eukaryota; Viridiplantae; Streptophyta; Magnoliopsida; Apiales; Araliaceae.
UCAGGGUACGAAGAUACCUACACAUACAGAAUCCUCUACAUAAGGGGGAGUUCAAGGUCUGGAAAAAACAAUUCUAGAACAUCAGUUGGAUACAACCAACAAAGACCUUGAAGGCACCCAUCUUAAAGGAGAUCCAGACACUGGUGACAUCAGAAAGAAGGUCCUUCAAAUGGAGGAAACCAUUCGCGUUCUCAAAGGAUUGGAACACAUGGCAGUGUUUCAUAUGCAG